CACUUCUAAGGAAGGCAGCAGGCGCGCAAAUUACCCAAUCCUGACUCAGGGAGGUAGUGACAAGAAAUAACAAUAAACCGGCUUAUGCCGGUUUAAUUGGAAUGAGUACAAUUUAAACAUCUUAACGAGGAACAAUUGGAGGGCAAGUCUGGUGCCAGCAGCCGCGGUAAUUCCAGCUCCAAUAGCGUAUACUAAAGUUGUUGCAGUUAAAAAGCUCGUAGUUGGAUUUCUGUGGGGACGGAGCGGCCGGCCGCACAUCGCGGUUCGAGCUAGCGCUUUCCCUACAUCCUGCCGCGAACCGUGCUACCAUUAAUUUGGUGGCGCCGGGGAUCGGCUCGAUUACUUUGAGAAAAAUAGAGUGUUCAAAGCAGGCCACAUGCCUUGAAUAAGUUAGCAUGGAAUAAUAACUAAGGACUUCGGUUCUAUUUUGUUGGUGUUCGGGACUGAAGUAAUGAUUGAUAGGGACAGUUGGGGCGGUCUGUAUUCCAAAGCGAGAGGUGAAAUUCUUAGACCUUCGGAAGACAAACAGCUGCGAAAGCGUUCCGCAAGGAUGUUCCCUUUGAUCAAGAACGAAAGUUGGGGGAUCGAAGACGAUCAGAUACCGUCGUAGUCUCAACUAUAAACUAUACCAGCUAGGGAUCGGCCAACGUUAUUUUAUACCGACUUGGUCGGCACCUUAUGAGAAAUCAAAGCAUCUGGGUUCCGGGGGGAGUAUGGUCGCAAGGCUGAAACUUAAAGGAAUUGACGGAAGGGCACCACCAGCCGUGGAGCCUGUGGCUUAAUUUGACUCAACACGGGAAAACUUACCAGGUCCAGACAUAGUAAGGAUUGACAGAUUGAUAGCUCUUUCUUGAUUCUGUGGGUGGUGGUGCAUGGCCGUUCUUAGUUGGUGGAGUGAUUUGUCUGGUUAAUUCCGUUAACGAUCGAGACCCCAGCCUGCUAAAUAGCGCGCGUGAGCUUUGCUCGCGGCGAGCUUCUUAGAGGGACUCUGAUGCGCGAUAGCACAUGGAAGUUUGGGGCAAUAACAGGUCUGUGAUGCCCUUAGAUGUUCUGGGCCGCACACGGGCUACACUGGCGCCUGCAACGAGCAUAUCAGCUGGCCCGAGAGGGUCUUGGCUAAUCUUUUGAACCGGCGCCGUGCUUGGGAUUGACCUUUGCAAUUGUUGGUCAUGCAACGAGGAAUGCCUUGUAAACGCGAGUCAUCAGCUCGCAUUGAAUACGUCCCUGCCCUUUGUACACACCGCCCGUCGCUCCUACCGAUGAAUGUUCCGAUGAAAUUUUCGGAGAGCACCUGUGAACUUGGCUCUGCCUUGCGAACGGGAGGCUCAAAGUCACUUAAAUCUGAACAUUUCGAGG
RNAcentral lists this ribosomal RNA (1356 nucleotides) under uncultured marine eukaryote. Its description in RNAcentral is "SSU rRNA". It matches the Rfam family "Eukaryotic small subunit ribosomal RNA", at positions 411 to 1779 of the family's 1831-position model. The record is from RNAcentral.